Drosophila albomicans is the source of this 506-nucleotide long non-coding RNA. RefSeq lists it as uncharacterized. NCBI's taxonomy places the organism in Eukaryota, Metazoa, Arthropoda, Insecta, Diptera, Drosophilidae. The transcript is spliced from 4 exons. The record is from RefSeq and is a predicted model, not a curated record.
GGAUCAUCAGGAUUCUCCUCAAUCUCUCCUUCCGUACAUUUCAAUGAGCAUAUUCCAUUCUCAUCGAUGAGACAAAUAUUCAAUGAAGAGUUAAAGUAGGUUCCACUGGUGCAGUUCACUUCCUCAAGGCUGCCAUCCACACAUUGUAAGUAUCCACAAGGAUCAUCAGGAUUCUCCUCAAUCUCUCCUUCCGUACAUUUCAAUGAGCAUAUUCCAUUCUCAUCGAUGAGACAAAUAUUCAAUGAAGAGUUAAAGUAGGUUCCGCUGGUGCAGUUCACUUCCUCAAGGCUGCCAUCCACACAUUGUAAAAAUCCACAAGGAUCAUCAGGAUUCUCCUCAAUCUCUCCUUCCUUACAUUUCGAUGAGCAUAUUCCAUUCUCAUCAAUAAGACAAAUAUUCAAUGAAGAGUUAAAGUAGGUUCCACUGGUGCAGUUCACUUCCUCAAGGCUGCCAUCCACACAUUGUAAGUAUCCACAAGGAUCAUCAGGAUUCUCCUCAAUCUCUCC